AUAAUUACGCUUUAGCAGCUUAGUCUGCUAACGUCCUACAUGAGAGUCCCACGACUUGGGAUAGGGCGUCAAUUAGUGGGGAACCGAGUCUAGGAAAGCUUUGACCUAGAAACGGAAUUUAUGAAGCUACUAAAGGUGGAAUCCUGUCAGUGGGAGUCUGCUAGAGGGAAUGUUAAAAUACUGACUGCACUCGGAGAUGCUUAGGUAUUGCGAUUUUCGGACAGGGGUUCGACACCCCUCGCCUCCAUCA
This 250-nucleotide transfer-messenger RNA is filed under the name Bacillota bacterium. RNAcentral's name for it is "partial transfer-messenger RNA". It matches the Rfam family "transfer-messenger RNA", at positions 103 to 374 of the family's 374-position model. From Rfam's summary of the family: Bacterial tmRNA, also known as 10Sa RNA or SsrA, is named for its dual tRNA and mRNA-like properties. Its role is to liberate the mRNA from a stalled ribosome. The record is from RNAcentral. Lineage: Bacteria; Bacillati; Bacillota.